GAUGAACGCUGUCGGCGUGCCUAAUUCAUUCCAGUUGAGCGAACAGACGAGGAGCUUUCUCCUCUUACGUUAUCUGCGGAUGUGUGAGUAACACUUGGAUCACCUACCUAUAAGACUGGGAUCACUUCGUGAACCCGGAGCUCAUACCGGAUAAUAUAUUGAACCGCAUGGUUCAAUAGUCAAAGACUUUUUUGCUGUCACUUAUAGAUUGAUCCGCGCCGCAUUAGCUAGUUGGUAAGGUAACGGCUUACCAAGGCAACGAUGCGUAGCCGACCUGAGAGGGUGAACGGCCACAAUGGAACUGAGAAACGGUCCAGAAUCAGACGGAAGGCAGCAGUAGGGAAUCUUCGGAAAUGAGCGAAAGCCUGACAGAGAAACGCAGCGUGAGUAAUGAAGGUCUACGAAUCGUAAAACACUGUUAUUAGGGAAGAACAAAGGUGAAAGUAACUAUGCACGUCAUGACGGGACAUAAUGAGAAAGCCACGGCUAAAUACAUG
This 497-nucleotide ribosomal RNA is filed under the name uncultured bacterium. RNAcentral's name for it is "partial 16S ribosomal RNA". It matches the Rfam family "Bacterial small subunit ribosomal RNA", at positions 28 to 507 of the family's 1533-position model. The record is from RNAcentral.